Molecule: ribosomal RNA, 253 nt
Filed under: uncultured bacterium
Lineage: Bacteria
Description: partial 16S ribosomal RNA
Rfam family: Bacterial small subunit ribosomal RNA
Source: RNAcentral
UACGAAGGGGGCUAGCGUUGUUCGGAAUCACUGGGCGUAAAGGGCGCGUAGGCGGCUAGAUAAGUCAGGGGUGAAAUCCUGGAGCUCAACUCCAGAACUGCCUUUGAUACUGGCGACCUUGAGUCCGGGAGAGGUGAGUGGAACUGCGAGUGUAGAGGUGAAAUUCGUAGAUAUUCGCAAGAACACCAGUGGCGAAGGCGGCUCACUGGCCCGGUACUGACUCUGAGGUGCGAAAUCGUGGGGAGCAAACAGG